Molecule: ribosomal RNA, 260 nt
Filed under: uncultured bacterium
Lineage: Bacteria
Description: partial 16S ribosomal RNA
Rfam family: Bacterial small subunit ribosomal RNA
Source: RNAcentral
AAUCAACGCUGGUGGCGUGCCUAACACAUGCAAGUCGAACGCGAAAGCCCCGCAAGGGGCGAAGUAGAGUGGCAAACGGGUGAGUAACACGUGGGUGACCUGCCUUCGAGCGGGGGAGUAACGUCCCGAAAGGGACGCUAAUACCGCAUAACAUCCUGCCUUUGAAGAGGUGGAGAUCAAAGCUGGGGAUCGCAAGACCCGGCACUUGAAGAGGGGCCCGCGCCUGAUUAGCUAGUUGGUGGGGAAUGGCCUACCAAGGC